Molecule: ribosomal RNA, 500 nt
Filed under: uncultured bacterium
Lineage: Bacteria
Description: partial 16S ribosomal RNA
Rfam family: Bacterial small subunit ribosomal RNA
Source: RNAcentral
AUUGAACGCUGGCGGCAGGCCUAACACAUGCAAGUCGAGCGGAUGAAGGGAGCUUGCUCCCUGAUUCAGCGGCGGACGGGUGAGUAAUGCCUAGGAAUCUGCCUGGUAGUGGGGGACAACGCUUCGAAAGGAACGCUAAUACCGCAUACGUCCUACGGGAGAAAGCAGGGGACCUUCGGGCCUUGCGCUAUCAGAUGAGCCUAGGUCGGAUUAGCUAGUUGGUGAGGUAAUGGCUCACCAAGGCGACGAUCCGUAACUGGUCUGAGAGGAUGAUCAGUCACACUGGAACUGAGACACGGUCCAGACUCCUACGGGAGGCAGCAGUGGGGAAUAUUGGACAAUGGGCGAAAGCCUGAUCCAGCCAUGCCGCGUGUGUGAAGAAGGUCUUCGGAUUGUAAAGCACUUUAAGUUGGGAGGAAGGGUUGCUGAUUAAUACUCUGCAAUUUUGACGUUACCGACAGAAUAAGCACCGGCUAACUCUGUGCCAGCCGCCGCAGUAA